RNAcentral lists this ribosomal RNA (1337 nucleotides) under Acinetobacter baumannii. RNAcentral describes it as "partial 23S ribosomal RNA". It matches the Rfam family "Bacterial large subunit ribosomal RNA", at positions 1 to 1389 of the family's 2925-position model. Lineage: Bacteria; Pseudomonadati; Pseudomonadota; Gammaproteobacteria; Moraxellales; Moraxellaceae. The record is from RNAcentral.
AGUCAAGUAAUUAAGUGCAUGUGGUGGAUGCCUUGGCAGUCAGAGGCGAUGAAAGACGUGAUAGCCUGCGAAAAGCUCCGGGGAGGCGGCAAAUAUCCUUUGAUCCGGAGAUGUCUGAAUGGGGGAACCCACCUACUUUAAGGUAGGUAUUGCAACAUGAAUACAUAGUGUUGCAAGGCGAACGAGGGGAAGUGAAACAUCUCAGUACCCUUAGGAAAAGAAAUCAAUUGAGAUUCCCUCAGUAGCGGCGAGCGAACGGGGAUCAGCCCAUUAAGUUAUGUGUGUUUUAGUGGAACGCUCUGGGAAGUGCGAACGUAGAGGGUGAUAUUCCCGUACACGAAAGGGCACACAUAAUGAUGACGAGUAGGGCGAGGCACGUGAAACCUUGUCUGAAUAUGGGGGGACCAUCCUCCAAGGCUAAAUACUCCUGACUGACCGAUAGUGAACCAGUACCGUGAGGGAAAGGCGAAAAGAACCCCUGUGAGGGGAGUGAAAUAGAUCCUGAAACCGCAUGCAUACAAGCAGUGGGAGCACCUUCGUGGUGUGACUGCGUACCUUUUGUAUAAUGGGUCAGCGACUUAUAUUCAGUAGCGAGGUUAACCGUAUAGGGGAGCCGUAGAGAAAUCGAGUCUUAAUAGGGCGUUUAGUUGCUGGGUAUAGACCCGAAACCAGGCGAUCUAUCCAUGAGCAGGUUGAAGGUUGGGUAACACUAACUGGAGGACCGAACCCACUGUCGUUGAAAAGCCAGGGGAUGACUUGUGGAUAGGGGUGAAAGGCUAAUCAAGCCUGGUGAUAGCUGGUUCUCCCCGAAAGCUAUUUAGGUAGCGCCUCGGACGAAUACCAUAGGGGGUAGAGCACUGUUUCGGCUAGGGGGUCAUCCCGACUUACCAAACCGAUGCAAACUCCGAAUACCUAUGAGUACUAUCCGGGAGACAGACUGCGGGUGCUAACGUCCGUAGUCAAGAGGAAAACAAUCCAGACCGCCAGCUAAGGCCCCAAAAUCAUAGUUAAGUGGGAAACGAUGUGGGAAGGCAUAGACAGCUAGGAGGUUGGCUUAGAAGCAGCCACCCUUUAAAGAAAGCGUAAUAGCUCACUAGUCGAGUCGGCCUGCGCGGAAGAUGUAACGGGGCUAAAACUAUGUGCCGAAGCUGCGGAUGUAUACUUUGUAUACGUGGUAGGGGAGCGUUCUGUAAGCCGAUGAAGGUGUGUUGAGAAGCAUGCUGGAGGUAUCAGAAGUGCGAAUGCUGACGUGAGUAACGACAAAACGGGUGAAAAACCCGUUCGCCGAAAGACCAAGGGUUCCAGUCCAACGUUAAUCGGGGCUGGGUGAGUCGACC